Molecule: ribosomal RNA, 374 nt
Filed under: uncultured organism
Description: partial 16S ribosomal RNA
Rfam family: Bacterial small subunit ribosomal RNA
Source: RNAcentral
GUAGGUGGCAAGCGUUGUCCGGAAUUAUUGGGCGUAAAGCGCGCGCAGGUGGUUCUUUAAGUCUGAUGUGAAAGCCCCCGGGCUCAACCGGGGAGGGUCAUUGGAAACUGGGGAACUUGAGUGCAGGAGAGGAAAGUGGAAUUCCACGUGUAGCGGUGAAAUGCGUAGAUAUGUGGAGGAACACCAGUGGCGAAGGCGACUUUCUGGCCUGUAACUGACACUGAGGGCGCGAAAGCGUGGGGAGCAAACAGGAUUAGAUACCCUGGUAGUCCACGCCGUAAACGAUGAGUGCUAAGUGUUGGGGGGUUUCCGCCCCUCAGUGCUGCAGCUAACGCAUUAAGCACUCCGCCUGGGGAGUACGGUCGCAAAGACUG